Molecule: ribosomal RNA, 465 nt
Filed under: uncultured bacterium
Lineage: Bacteria
Description: partial 16S ribosomal RNA
Rfam family: Bacterial small subunit ribosomal RNA
Source: RNAcentral
CCUACGGGAGGCAGCAGUAGGGAAUCUUCCACAAUGGGCGAAAGCCUGAUGGAGCAACGCCGCGUGGGUGAAGAAGGUCUUCGGAUCGUAAAACCCUGUUGUUAGAGAAGAAAGUGCUUUAGAGUAACUGUUCACGUUUCGACGGUAUCUAACCAGAAAGCCACGGCUAACUACGUGCCAGCAGCCGCGGUAAUACGUAGGUGGCAAGCGUUAUCCGGAUUUAUUGGGCGUAAAGGUAUCGCAUGCGGUCUUUUAAGUCUGAUGUGAAAGCCUUCGGCUUAACCGGAGUAGUGCAUUGGAAACUGGAAGACUUGAGUGCAGAAGAGGAGAGUGGAACUCCAUGUGUAGCGGUGAAAUGCGUAGAUAUAUGGAAGAACACCAGUGGCGAAAGCGGCUUUCUGGUCUGUAACUGACGCUGAGGUUCGAAAGCGUGGGGAGCAAACAGGAUUAGAUACCCCAGUAGUC